AUUAACGAAACGCGAGGCGAGGUCGUAGCUGGUCCCCUCGGGGGGCAACGUGCACGCCUCGUCGACGUCUCUUCUCUCUCACCCCUGUGCACCUCUGCGUCGGGUCCCGUCGGUUCGGGGCUCUGCGUCCUUUUUAUAAAACGCUCGCAUGUACGAGAACGUGUUAUCAUCAUAAUAAUACAACUUUCAACAACGGAUCUCUUGGCUCUCGCAUCGAUGAAGAACGCAGCGAAAUGCGAUAAGUAAUGUGAAUUGCAGAAUUCAGUGAAUCAUCGAAUCUUUGAACGCACCUUGCGCCCCUUGGUAUUCCGAAGGGCACACCUGUUUGAGUAUCGUGAAAUCCUCAACCCUUUCGCGUCGUCGAAGGGCUUGGACUUUGGAGGUCUUUGCUGGUCCCCCCCCGGAUCGGCUCCUCUUGAAUGCAUUUAGUGGAGCUUCGUUCCUGCUGUCGGCCUGCCCUUCGGUGUGAUAAUUCAUCCGCAUCGAUCGAGCGUUUCGUGAACCAGAGGGACGUUCUCCGCUUCUAACGCGUGCGAGACUUUUUUUUGAUCUCAAAUCAGGUGGGACUACCCGCUGAACUUAAGCAUAUCAAUAAGCGGAGGAAAAGAAACUAACGAGGAUUCCCCUAGUAACUGCGAGUGAAGCGGGAAAAGCUCAAAUUUGAAAUCUGGCGGUCUCUGGC
Molecule: ribosomal RNA, 682 nt
Filed under: Leucogaster microsporus
Lineage: Eukaryota; Fungi; Basidiomycota; Agaricomycetes; Boletales; Leucogastraceae
Description: eukaryotic LSU rRNA
Rfam family: 5.8S ribosomal RNA (bases 182-335)
Source: RNAcentral